AGAGUUUGAUUAUGGCUCAGAAUGAACGCUGGCGGCGUGCUUAAUACAUGCAAGUCGAACGAGGUCAUUGAGCUUGCUUAAUGACCGAGUGGCGAACGGGUGAGUAAUACGUAAGCAACCUGCCCUGAAGCGGGGGAUAACAGCUGGAAACGGACGCUAAUACCCCAUAGCAGCUCAGAAGGCAUCUUCUUUUCUCUAAAGAUCCGCUUGGAUCACUUCAGGAUGGGCUUACGCUGCAUUAGUUAGUUGGUGAGGUAACGGCCCACCAAGACGAUGAUGCAUAGCCGGCCUGAGAGGGUGAACGGCCACAUUGGGACUGAGACACGGCCCAGACUCCUACGGGAGGCAGCAGUAAGGAAUUUUCGGCAAUGGACGAAAGUCUGACCGAGCAACGCCGCGUGAGCGAUGAAGGUCUUCGGAUCGUAAAGCUCUGUUGAAGGGGAAGAAAACAUCGAUCAGGAAAUGGUUCGAUACUGACGGUACCCCUCCAGAAAGUCACGGCUUACUACGUGCCAGCAGCCGCGGUAAUACGUAGGUGGCAAGCGUUAUCCGGAUUUAUUGGGCGUAAAGGGUGCGCAGGCGGUCUGUUAAGUUCAGGGUGAAAGCGUGGAGCUCAACUCCAUACAGCCCUGAAAACUGGCAGACUUGAGUACGGAAGAGGGAAGCGGAAUUCCAUGUGUAGCGGUAAAAUGCGUAGAUAUAUGGAGGAACACCGGUGGCGAAGGCGGCUUCCUGGUCCGUUACUGACGCUCAGGCACGAAAGCGUGGGGAGCAAAUAGGAUUAGAUACCCUAGUAGUCCACGCCCUAAACGAUGAGAACUAGGUGUCGGAAUUUUCGGUGCCGCAGCUAACGCAUUAAGUUCUCCGCCUGAGGAGUAUGCACGCAAGUGUGAAACUUAAAGGAAUUGACGGGGGCCCGCACAAGCGGUGGAGUAUGUGGUUUAAUUCGAUGCAACGCGAAGAACCUUACCAGGCCUUGACAUCCCCUGCAAUACUAUAGAGAUAUAGCGGAGGUUAUCAGGGUGACAGGUGGUGCAUGGUUGUCGUCAGCUCGUGUCGUGAGAUGUUGGGUUAAGUCCCGCAACGAGCGCAACCCUUGUCGCUAGUUACCAUCAUUCAGUUGGGGACUCUAGCAAGACUGCCGGUGAUAAACCGGAGGAAGGUGGGGAUGACGUCAAAUCAUCAUGCCCCUUAUGGCCUGGGCUACACACGUACUACAAUGGCGCACACAGCGAGAUGCAAAGUGGUGACACUGAGCGGAACUCUUAAAGUGCGUCUCAGUUCGGAUUGGAGUCUGCAACCCGACUCCAUGAAGCCGGAAUCGCUAGUAAUCGCGGAUCAGCAUGCCGCGGUGAAUACGUUCUCGGGCCUUGUACACACCGCCCGUCAAACCAUGAGAGUGAGUAAUACCCGAAGCCGGUGGCCUAACCCGUAAGGGAGGGAGCUGUCGAAGGCAGGACUCAUGAUUUAAUUAAGUCGUAACAAGGUAACC
This 1492-nucleotide ribosomal RNA is filed under the name uncultured rumen bacterium. Its description in RNAcentral is "bacterial SSU rRNA". It matches the Rfam family "Bacterial small subunit ribosomal RNA". The record is from RNAcentral.